GAAACCCUGUGGAGAGAGGAUUCAGUCUGUUUCGGCUGACUGACCUACGGAAGUACAGCAGGGCUUCCCUUCGACGGGUGCUGUCUGGGGGACCGACUUCUACCGUUCCAGACGCACUUGACUCUCACCCGAUGAACGCUGUAGCCGGUCAGGCAGUACAAGCGCGACUGCCUGAGGGUCGGGAGAGGGCAGAUGGCCUGUGGCUGGCCUCAUGCGGGCCGCGAGUUGUUAGCCAUCCUGUCAGUGGCUCGUCGCCGGACCAUAGUGUCGCGAGUCCCCUCGCGGGACUCCUCGUCUCCUACCCUGUGACGUCGGUACAGCUGGGGGCAAGGUUCUUCUGUCCCGGCCAUCGCAGUCCUCCGGAGUGGGCGGUCGGGCGGUGAGCUCCGGCUGGCCGUGGUGGCUCCGGCGGAUUCGUUGAAGACCGGAGGCUCGCAUCGAGUAGAUCGGUCACCAACCCGACCCGUCUUGAAACACGGACCAAGGAGUCUAACAUGUGCGUGAGUCAAUGGGUCUUGAACAGGCCCAAGGGCGCAAUGAAAGCGAAGGCCCGCCUCUGGCGCGGGCCGAAUUGAGAUCCCGGUCCUCAGAGGCCAGAGGAAACUCUGGUAAAGGUUCGCAGGUGUUCGGACGUGCAAAUCAAUCGUCUGAUCCGG
This 656-nucleotide ribosomal RNA is filed under the name Salticidae sp. MCH-2003. RNAcentral's name for it is "partial 28S ribosomal RNA". The record is from RNAcentral. Lineage: Eukaryota; Metazoa; Arthropoda; Arachnida; Araneae; Salticidae.